Molecule: long non-coding RNA, 413 nt
Organism: Austrofundulus limnaeus
Lineage: Eukaryota; Metazoa; Chordata; Actinopteri; Cyprinodontiformes; Rivulidae
Exons: 2
Source: RefSeq, a predicted model, not a curated record
UUUUGUUUAUGUGGUUUUGGUGUCCCCUAGUGGCGGGUGGUGGUAAAUAUAAUUGCAGGACGUUAGCAGCCCGUCCCCUUUUGCUGCCUGAUGUUCUGUGAGAAGGGGCAGGAGCUACGAUCAGACCACCACCAACCACUUUUAUGUUUUCUGUAACAGGUAUGGUUAUGUUUUUGRAAGGAAUGUUCAUUUGUAACAUCUUUGAGAGGUUAUGUUUGUUUUAUGUGUUUGUUUUAUUUUGAUGAAAAUUAUAUUGUCUUAAAAACUAUACGAUCACAUUGUUAAAAGUUGGCGGCCCAUCCCCUUUUGCUGCCUGACGUUCUGUGAGAAGGGGCAGGAGCUACGAUCAGACCACCACCAACCACUUUUAUGUUUUCUGUAACAGUUGGUGUGAAUAAAUGGUGUGAAGCCAA